CUUCCUCUCCACCCCAGCAUUAAAGAAUAUGCUGAUCAAGUUCAUCUAAGAACUUUACUUCUACUUAUUAUCUCAGCUGAUGCCUCAUCAUGAUAGGGAAGUGAUCUUGGGUUCUGAAAGCUUUGCCAGGAGAAUGCAAAUGCCCUCUCCUAUCAAGUGGAAAAGUUUUGCUUAUGGUUCUUGGGAAAGAAUAUGUUUGAUUCCUGAUAACCAGCCUAGGAAAAGAAACUGAAGCAAAGAAACACAAAGGAAUGUGAGUGAGAAUACAAAGAGAGAGAGAGAGAAUUGGGUCCAGAACUUGUGAUUCUCAGUCCAUGCUGCUCUGUGUGGAGAAAGUGAGGACAAACCAAAAUAUUUGGAUAUCUCUUUUCAGUCUGAAUAAAGGAUGAUAUGAGUCAUGACAUCCAUUAUCCCUGAAAACACAAUCCUGAAUGGAAAUAUUUCAGAAUGAUCCAAACACCUAUGCUAGACUUUUCCUGUGUAAACACUAAAAUAUUUUAUGCUCUUG
Molecule: long non-coding RNA, 508 nt
Organism: Antechinus flavipes (yellow-footed antechinus)
Lineage: Eukaryota; Metazoa; Chordata; Mammalia; Dasyuromorphia; Dasyuridae
Exons: 2
Source: RefSeq, a predicted model, not a curated record